This 468-nucleotide ribosomal RNA is filed under the name uncultured bacterium. RNAcentral describes it as "partial 16S ribosomal RNA". It matches the Rfam family "Bacterial small subunit ribosomal RNA", at positions 28 to 507 of the family's 1533-position model. The record is from RNAcentral.
GAUGAACGCUGGCGGCGUGCCUAACACAUGCAAGUCGAACGGAAAGGCCCUGCUCUGGGGGGGUGCUCGAGGGGCGAGGGGGUGUGUAACACGUGAGUAACCCCGCCUUGACUGUGUGAUAACUCCAGGAAACUGCGGCUAAUACAGGAUAGGAGCUCCGGCAGCAGGGUGGGGGUUGGGAAGUUUCGGCUGUUGGGGAUGGACUCGCGGCUUAUCUGCUUGGUGGGGGGGUAGUGGCUUACCACGGCUUUGACGGGUAGGCGGCCUGGGAGGGUGACCGGCGCCCUGGGGCCUGAGGUACGGCGCAGUCUCCAACGGUGGGCAGCGGUCGGGAAUAUUGCACAGUGGGCCGGCGCGUGAUGCAGCGACGCCGCGUUCGUGAUGCCGGCCUUCGGGUUAUGAACCGCUUUCGCCUGUGACGAAGCGUGAGUGACGGUACUGGGUGAAGAAGCACCGGCUAACUACGUG